RNAcentral lists this ribosomal RNA (373 nucleotides) under uncultured organism. RNAcentral's name for it is "partial 16S ribosomal RNA". It matches the Rfam family "Bacterial small subunit ribosomal RNA", at positions 528 to 896 of the family's 1533-position model. The record is from RNAcentral.
GGGGGGGCAAGCGUUGUUCGGAAUUACUGGGCGUAAAGGGCGUGUAGGCGGUCCUGCAAGUCUUUCGUGAAAUCCCACAGCUCAACUGUGGAACUGCGAGGGAAACUGCAGGACUUGAGUCCGGGAGAGGAGAGUGGAAUUCCCAGUGUAGCGGUGAAAUGCGUAGAUAUUGGGAGGAACACCGGUGGCGAAGGCGGCUCUCUGGACCGGUACUGACGCUGAGGCGCGAAAGCUAGGGGAGCAAACGGGAUUAGAUACCCCGGGUAGUCCUAGCCUUAAACGAUGAGCACUUGGUGUGGCGGGUAUCGACCCCCUGCCGUGCCGAAGCUAACGCAUUAAGUGCUCCGCCUGGGGGAGUACGGUCGCAAGGCUG